Molecule: ribosomal RNA, 301 nt
Filed under: uncultured bacterium
Lineage: Bacteria
Description: partial 16S ribosomal RNA
Rfam family: Bacterial small subunit ribosomal RNA
Source: RNAcentral
CAGUAGCCGCGGUAAUACGGAGGGUGCAAGCGUUAAUCGGAAUUACUGGGCGUAAAGCGCACGCAGGCGGUUUGUUAAGUCAGAUGUGAAAUCCCCGGGCUCAACCUGGGAACUGCAUUUGAAACUGGCAAGCUAGAGUCUCGUAGAGGGGGGUAGAAUUCCAGGUGUAGCGGUGAAAUGCGUAGAGAUCUGGAGGAAUACCGGUGGCGAAGGCGGCCCCCUGGACAAAGACUGACGCUCAGGUGCGAAAGCGUGGGGAGCAAACAGGAUUAGAUACCCCGGUAGUCCCUGUCUCUUAUAC